UACGGAGAGUGCAAGCGUUGUUCGGAAUUACUGGGCGUAAAGCGCGUGUAGGCGGCUAGAUAAGUCAGACGUGUAAGCCCAUGGCUUAACCAUGGAACUGCGUUUGAAACUAUUUAGCUUGAGUGCAGGAGAGGAAAGCGGAAUUCCCAGUGUAGCGGUGAAAUGCAUUGAUAUUGGGAAGAACACCGGUGGCGAAGGCGGCUUUCUGGCCUGCUACUGACGCUGAGAUACGAAAGCCAGGGGAGCAAAGGGG
This 253-nucleotide ribosomal RNA is filed under the name uncultured bacterium. Its description in RNAcentral is "partial 16S ribosomal RNA". It matches the Rfam family "Bacterial small subunit ribosomal RNA", at positions 524 to 776 of the family's 1533-position model. The record is from RNAcentral.